AACGAACGCUGGCGGCAUGCUUAACACAUGCAAGUCGAGCGCCCCGCCAGGGGAGCGGCGGGGUGGUGGGGAACGCGUGGGGACGUUCCCUUUUGUGUAGAACAACUCCGGGAAACUGGUACUAAUAGCGGACAAGCCCUAACGCGGGAAGAUUUCUCGCCCAAAAAUCGGGCCGCGUCUGAUUAGCUACGUGGUGGGGUAACGUCACACCAAGGCGACGAGCAGUAGCUGGUCUGAGUGGAUGAGCAGCCGCACUGGGACUGAGACACGGGCCAGACUCCGACGGGAGGCAGCAGUAGGGAAUAUUGUAGAAUGAGCGCAAGCCUGAUCCAGCCAUGCCGCGUGAGUGAUGAAGGCCGUAGGGUUGUAAAGCUCUUUUGUACGGGAAGAUAAUGACGGUACCGGAAGAAUAAGCCCCGGCUAACUUCGUG
RNAcentral lists this ribosomal RNA (431 nucleotides) under uncultured bacterium. Its description in RNAcentral is "partial 16S ribosomal RNA". It matches the Rfam family "Bacterial small subunit ribosomal RNA", at positions 29 to 507 of the family's 1533-position model. The record is from RNAcentral.